Molecule: long non-coding RNA, 545 nt
Filed under: Salvator merianae (Argentine black and white tegu)
Lineage: Eukaryota; Metazoa; Chordata; Lepidosauria; Squamata; Teiidae
Description: lncRNA (ENSSMRG00000009019.1)
Source: RNAcentral
GCAGUACAAAAUAAUUGACAUGCAUUUCCUAAAAUACUUGAGAAUUUCCAGUUUGCACCUUCAUGGUGCAAGGAAUUUUAUUUGCUUAGUGGGUCAUAGAAAUUACUGGAUCUAGGCUGCAGCUAUACAAAAUAAUUGAGAUGCAUCUCCUAUAAUACUUGGGAAUUUCCAGUUUGCACCUUCAUGGUCCAAGGAAUGUUAUUUGCUUAGUGGGUCAUAGAAAUUACUAGGGCCAGAUUGCAGCUACACUAAAUGGCAAAGAGACUUUCCCCCAGCCUGGAAGAAGAGGAGACCUUACUUCACGUCGUCAUCCUCAAGCCAGCAAUGGAAGAAGCCCACUCUGCUCAUUUUCUUCAUUGAAGACUUCAGCAUCCACACGGCUAUCGCUCAGGAGUCCAAAUCCAGCCAAGGAGGAAAAGCAUCUCCAGAGCUCCCUGCGUGUGUUCCAGCCCUAACCCUCCCCUGGCAUCACUGGACGUGGACACAGAAGUAUAUGCAGGUCAGUAUAGCAAUCAUCUCUUCUUCCGAGUGUAAUAUUCGCUUUG